GUGGAUUAGAUACCCUGGUAGUCCACGCCGUAAACGGUGGGUACUAGGUGUGGGUUUCCUUCCUUGGGAUCCGUGCCGUAGCUAACGCAUUAAGUACCCCGCCUGGGGAGUACGGCCGCAAGGCUAAAACUCAAAGGAAUUGACGGGGGCCCGCACAAGCGGCGGAGCAUGUGGAUUAAUUCGAUGCAACGCGAAGAACCUUACCUGGGUUUGACAUGCACAGGACGCUGGUAGAGAUAUCAGUUCCCUUGUGGCCUGUGUGCAGGUGGUGCACGGUCGUCGCCAACU
This 288-nucleotide ribosomal RNA is filed under the name uncultured bacterium. RNAcentral's name for it is "partial 16S ribosomal RNA". It matches the Rfam family "Bacterial small subunit ribosomal RNA", at positions 773 to 1060 of the family's 1533-position model. The record is from RNAcentral.